This 482-nucleotide ribosomal RNA is filed under the name uncultured bacterium. RNAcentral's name for it is "partial 16S ribosomal RNA". It matches the Rfam family "Bacterial small subunit ribosomal RNA", at positions 30 to 507 of the family's 1533-position model. The record is from RNAcentral.
AUUGAACGCUGGCGGCACGCUUUACACAUGCAAGUCGAACGGUAACAGGCCGCAAGGUGCUGACGAGUGGCGCACGGGUGAGUAAUGCAUCGGAACGUGCCCAGUCGUGGGGGAUAACUACUCGAAAGAGUAGCUAAUACCGCAUACGAUCUAUGGAUGAAAGCGGGGGACCGUAAGGCCUCGCGCGAUUGGAGCGGCCGAUGUCAGAUUAGGUAGUUGGUGGGGUAAAGGCUCACCAAGCCAACGAUCUGUAGCUGGUCUGAGAGGACGACCAGCCACACUGGGACUGAGACACGGCCCAGACUCCUACGGGAGGCAGCAGUGGGGAAUUUUGGACAAUGGGCGCAAGCCUGAUCCAGCAAUGCCGCGUGCAGGAAGAAGGCCUUCGGGUUGUAAACUGCUUUUGUACGGAACGAAACGGCUCUGGUUAAUACCCGGGGCUAAUGACGGUACCGUAAGAAUAAGCACCGGCUAACUACGUG